AGUGAACGCUGGCGGUAGGCCUAACACAUGCAAGUCGAACGGCAGCACAGUAAGAGCUUGCUCUUACGGGUGGCGAGUGGCGGACGGGUGAGGAAUACAUCGGAAUCUACUUUUUCGUGGGGGAUAACGUAGGGAAACUUACGCUAAUACCGCAUACGACCUACGGGUGAAAGCAGGGGAUCUUCUGACCUUGCGCGAUUGAAUGAGCCGAUGUCGGAUUAGCUAGUUGGCGGGGUAAAGGCCCACCAAGGCGACGAUCCGUAGCUGGUCUGAGAGGAUGAUCAGCCACACUGGAACUGAGACACGGUCCCGAACCCUACGGGAGGCAGCAGUGGGGAAUCUUGGACAAUGGGCGCAAGCCUGAUCCAGCCAUACCGCGUGGGUGAAGAAGGCCUUCGGGUUGUAAAGCCCUUUUGUUGGGAAAGAAAAGCAGCAGGUUAAUACCCCGCUGUUCUGACGGUACCCAAAGAAUAAGCACCGGCUAACUUCGU
Molecule: ribosomal RNA, 491 nt
Filed under: uncultured bacterium
Lineage: Bacteria
Description: partial 16S ribosomal RNA
Rfam family: Bacterial small subunit ribosomal RNA
Source: RNAcentral